GGACAUAUCAUAACGAAGAGGUAUCGUAAUUGAAGAGGUUUGGAAAGACCCACCACAGAAGGUAAUAGUCCUGUAUGUUAAACGAGAAGACUUCAGAUAUGAUCCAGAGUACCACGGGACACGUGAAACCCUGUGGGAAGCAGGAGGGACCACCCUCCAAGGCUAAAUACUACCUAGUGACCGAUAGCGUAUAGUACCGUGAGGGAAAGGUGAAAAGAACCCCGGGAGGGGAGUGAAAUAGAACCUGAAACCCUGCACUUACAAGCUGUGGAAGCACAUUUCUUGUGUGACCGCGUACUUUUUGUAGAACGGGCCAACGAGUUACGUUAAGUAG
This 334-nucleotide ribosomal RNA is filed under the name Clostridioides difficile. Its description in RNAcentral is "partial 23S ribosomal RNA". It matches the Rfam family "Bacterial large subunit ribosomal RNA", at positions 303 to 640 of the family's 2925-position model. Lineage: Bacteria; Bacillati; Bacillota; Clostridia; Peptostreptococcales; Peptostreptococcaceae. The record is from RNAcentral.